This 497-nucleotide ribosomal RNA is filed under the name uncultured bacterium. Its description in RNAcentral is "partial 16S ribosomal RNA". It matches the Rfam family "Bacterial small subunit ribosomal RNA", at positions 28 to 507 of the family's 1533-position model. The record is from RNAcentral.
GAUGAACGCUGGCGGCGUGCCUAAUACAUGCAAGUCGAGCGAACAGACGAGGAGCUUGCUCCUCUGACGUUAGCGGCGGACGGGUGAGUAACACGUGGAUAACCUACCUAUAAGACUGGGAUAACUUCUGGAAACCGGAGCUAAUACCGGAUAAUAUAUUGAACCGCAUGGUUCAAUAGUGAAAGACGGUUUUGCUCUCACUUAUAGAUGGAUCCGCGCCGCAUUAGCUAGUUGGUAAGGUAACGGCUUACCAAGGCAACGAUGCGUAGCCGACCUGAGAGGGUGAUCGGCCACACUGGAACUGAGACACGGUCCAGACUCCUACGGGAGGCAGCAGUAGGGAAUCUUCCGCAAUGGGCGAAAGCCUGACGGAGCAACGCCGCGUGAGUGAUGAAGGUCUUCGGAUCGUAAAACUCUGUUAUUAGGGAAGAACAAAUGUGUAAGUAACUAUGCACGUCUUGACGGUACCUAAUCAGAAAGCCACGGCUAACUACGUG